This 523-nucleotide ribosomal RNA is filed under the name uncultured bacterium. RNAcentral's name for it is "bacterial SSU rRNA". It matches the Rfam family "Bacterial small subunit ribosomal RNA", at positions 8 to 526 of the family's 1533-position model. The record is from RNAcentral.
AGAGUUUGAUCAUGGCUCAGGAUGAACGCUAGCGGCAGGCCUAAUACAUGCAAGCUGAACGGUAAAUAUUGUAGCAAUACGAUAUGAGAGUAGCGUAAGGGUGCGUAACACGUAUGCAAUCUGCCCUGUACAGGAGGAUAGCUCGGGGAAACUCGGAUUAAUACUCCGUAAUAUUAUUGGUAGGCAUCUAUUGAUAAUUAAAGUCGCAAGACGGUAUGGGAUGAGCAUGCGUCUGAUUAGCUAGUUGGAGGUGUAACGGACCCCCAAGGCGAUGAUCAGUAGGGGAACUGAGAGGUUGAUCCCCCACACUGGCACUGAGAUACGGGCCAGACUCCUACGGGAGGCAGCAGUAGGGAAUAUUGGUCAAUGGGUGAAAGCCUGAACCAGCCAUGCCGCGUGCAGGAAGACGGCCUUCUGGGUUGUAAACUGCUUUUGCCGGGGGAUAAAAAGCCCAUGCGUGGGCCAUUGAAGGUACCCGGUGAAUAAGCCACGGCUAACUACGUGCCAGCAGCCGCGGUAAUAC